UAAAUUUUGAGGGGGGGCCACCAAAACAUUAAUGAAUACUUAACGGCAGAGUAUCUGAGUUUGGAGGUAGGUGCCGUUGGUGGCCAAGGCUAGUCGGCGAUCUAGCCUUGUUAGGCAAAUGACCGCAAUGGCAAACAUUAGGCAAAACACUGGCAAACAUUUAUGGCAAACUGGCAAAUGGCAAACAGCAAUGGCAAACAGCUAUGGCAAAACAGCAAAAAAAGGGGGGGGGGGCACCAAAACAUUAAUGAAUACAUAAUAUAUAAAAAUCAAAGCAAUAAACUUUCGUAACUCUUUCACUUAUGAAAACUCAAAGUUGGCAAAGUAAUGUUUUAGUACAUGCAAUUUUAGUCAAUUUAAAUUACUCAUGUAACAAUUAGGAAUUUUACAUAUUUGUGAUAUUCAGUGCAUUUUAAAAUGCAAUUUAUUUUCUUAGGAAAAAACUUCAUCUUCAUGACUGUUUACUAAAAGUUAGUGGAAGUGACAUUGAGUAUUACAGUCAAACCGGAUGUUCUGUUCCCAUGAGUUUUGCAACAUUGCAAUCAAUCUUGCAGUGAACUCUAUGUCUUUUAUCUGGAACGAUAACAUGCAGGACAAACAUGAAGCAAUAAAGGAAUACCGAAUGGUUUUCCGUGCAGGAUUGCGUGAUCCAUGUACGAGGG
This is a non-coding RNA of Paramuricea clavata, 662 nucleotides long. The record is from the annotation of a GenBank genome assembly. NCBI's taxonomy places the organism in Eukaryota, Metazoa, Cnidaria, Anthozoa, Malacalcyonacea, Plexauridae.